UUGUGUUUUAUUGGAGAAAGUGCACUAGGUGGAUGGAUAGUGUUUAGUUGGUCAUAUCUGGAUGGCAUCUUGUAUCCCAAACUCUCUAUCAUUCCAAGGUUGGAAGACAAGCCCAUAUUGCUUAUUCGGUUGGAACAUAGGCAGAAAGAGGGUUGAUGACAAACCUCAGAUUAAAUACCAUGACAUUGAUCUUACUUUCUCAACUUCGCUGGUGGAUAAAACUUUUUUGAAAGGGAAGGAACUCAAAUGCUGCUAUAGGGCUACAAUUGAUGGAUUUAGUGCAACUGAUUUCCAUGAAUGCUGUGAUUUCAAGGGGCCAUGUGUGAUAAUCGGCUAUACAAACAAGUCUUUCAAGUUUGGUGCAUUUAGCCCUGAAGGCUAUAGAAGCACAGAUGACUACUAUGACACAUUUGAUGCCUUCCUAUUUUAUUGGAUAGACAAUGAAACUAAACCAAUAAUUUUGCCCAAGAUUGGUGGCAGUGGUGCAGCCCUGUUUGAUUAUGCUCGUGGGGGGCCACAAUUUGGGGCUGAUGGCCUACUCAUAGGGCCCCCAUUAGCCCCAGUUAUGGGUGGCUUUGCAGGGCCUGAUACCAAUUCUGGCAUUGGUGACUUGAGGCAAGCUAAGUCUAGGUUGGGAUUGUCUUAUGCUAAGAGGGAGGAUGGCAAGGAGUCUAUUUUUGGUGAUGAGUCCAAAGCAACUCUUCAAGAAGUGGAAGUCUUUUGCAGUCCUCAAAUUGCAAGCUUAUACUAGAACUUCAUAAGGGGGGUUUACAUAUUAUGGUGCAACAUGAUCAAAAUGUGAAAUUGAAGAUUACCCGGCAACUCCCAUGGAUCGAAUUUGUAAAAAUCAAUCACGGGUGUGCCUAGGGAUUGAGAAGGAUCGGAAAUCUCUUGAAGCGAUAAAAGUAACUUGUUCCACAAGUAAGCGUAUUGGUAAAGCUUCAAGAGGGGCCCAGAUUUCCGGUGAGUCCUCACUAGGCAGGGACACGACACGUGGCUGAGGCAGUUGACAGACCGGAUUUUGAGUGGCUGUAGGCUACUACCUUUUUGGAGUGUUUGAUGUAUUUUAGUAUUUUCGCAUUUGAUGGAUCAUGAUAUUGAUCCUUUAUUUUGUAUAUGGCCUGUAUAUGUUUUGUACAUGUCUAUCAGUUUGAUGCAUGUACAUUUGAGUAUUCAGGAACGUUAUAUGAU
RNA transcript from Gastrolobium bilobum, 1191 nucleotides. RefSeq lists it as uncharacterized. The transcript is spliced from 5 exons. The record is from RefSeq and is a predicted model, not a curated record. NCBI's taxonomy places the organism in Eukaryota, Viridiplantae, Streptophyta, Magnoliopsida, Fabales, Fabaceae.